Molecule: long non-coding RNA, 352 nt
Filed under: Phoenix dactylifera (date palm)
Lineage: Eukaryota; Viridiplantae; Streptophyta; Magnoliopsida; Arecales; Arecaceae
Description: long non-coding RNA (PDAC_LNC008041)
Source: RNAcentral
AGGAGGGGCAGCCCCUAGCUGCCCUAUUGGCAGCUUUCUUUGCCAAGGGGCAGACAAGAAGGUGAGAGACUCAUCGGCAGGUAGUGUGGGUGGCGGCUCUCAGCCAAUGGCGGUGGAUUCGGAUGGAUUCUAGCGAGAGAAGGGCAAUGCAUCUCGGAAUAAAGAAAUAGGGCAAUGGAGAAACUAGAGAAAGAAGGGGGGUUUCUGGCGGCGUUAUUCGGAUGUGGCGGCACGACAGCCACCGAAGAAGAUGGAGAAAGGGAGAGGAAGUGGGGAGAGGUGCGGUGAUGGAUCAUCUGAAGGGAAGAAGGGAUUUAAAGAGAGGGUUUUAUAGAGGAUAGGCUCGGCUCAA